CACGGGGUUGCGAGCGUUGUCCGGAAUUACUGGGCGUAAAGAGCUCGUAGGUGGUUUGUCGCGUCGUCUGUGAAAUUCCGGGGCUUAACCUCGGGCGUGCAGGCGAUACGGGCAAUACUUGAGUGCUGUAGGGGAGACUGGAAUUCCUGGUGUAGCGGUGAAAUGCGCAGAUAUCAGGAGGAACACCGAUGGCGAAGGCAGGUCUCUGGGCAGUAACUGACGCUGAGGAGCGAAAGCAUGGGUAGCGAACAGGAUUAGA
This 259-nucleotide ribosomal RNA is filed under the name uncultured prokaryote. RNAcentral's name for it is "partial 16S ribosomal RNA". It matches the Rfam family "Bacterial small subunit ribosomal RNA", at positions 524 to 782 of the family's 1533-position model. The record is from RNAcentral.